This 257-nucleotide ribosomal RNA is filed under the name uncultured prokaryote. RNAcentral's name for it is "partial 16S ribosomal RNA". It matches the Rfam family "Bacterial small subunit ribosomal RNA", at positions 524 to 780 of the family's 1533-position model. The record is from RNAcentral.
UACGUAGGUGGCAAGCGUUGUCCGGAUUUAUUGGGCGUAAGGGGAGCGCAGGCGGUGACUUAAGUCUGAUGUGAAAGCCCACGGCUCAACCGUGGAAGGUCAUUGGAAACUGGGUCACUUGAAUGGAGCAGAGGAGAACGGAAUUCCAUGUGUAGCAGUGAAAUGCGUAGAUAUAUGGAGGAACACCAGUGGCGAAGGCGGUUCUCUGGGCUCACAUUGACGCUGAGGCUCGAAAGCGUGGGGAGCGAACAGGAUUA